Molecule: ribosomal RNA, 129 nt
Organism: Pteropus vampyrus (large flying fox)
Lineage: Eukaryota; Metazoa; Chordata; Mammalia; Chiroptera; Pteropodidae
Source: Ensembl
GUCUAUGGCCAUGCCACUCGGAACAUGCCCAAUCUCAUCUGAUCUUGUCUGACCUCGAAAGCUAAGUAGGGUCGGGCCUGGUUAGUACUUGGAUGGGAGACUGCCUAGGAAUAUCGGGUGCUGUAGGCU